Molecule: ribosomal RNA, 446 nt
Filed under: uncultured bacterium
Lineage: Bacteria
Description: bacterial SSU rRNA
Rfam family: Bacterial small subunit ribosomal RNA
Source: RNAcentral
GCCAGACUCCUACGGGAGGCAGCAGUGGGGGAUAUUGCACAAUGGGGGAAACCCUGAUGCAGCGACGCCGCGUGGGUGAAGAAGCGCCUCGGCGCGUAAAGCCCUGUCAGCAGGGAAGAAAAUGACGGUACCUGAAGAAGAAGCCCCGGCUAACUACGUGCCAGCAGCCGCGGUAAUACGUAGGGGGCAAGCGUUAUCCGGAUUUACUGGGUGUAAAGGGAGCGUAGACGGCAGUGCAAGUCCGGAGUGAAAGCCCGGGGCUCAACCCUGGGACUGCUCUGGAAACUGUAAAGCUGGAGUGCGGGAGGGGCAGGCGGAAUUCCUGGUGUAGCGGUGAAAUGCGUAGAUAUCAGGAGGAACACCGGCGGCGAAGGCGGCCUGCUGGACCGUAACUGACGUUGAGGCUCGAAAGCGUGGGGAGCAAACAGGAUUAGAUACCCGAGUAA